Molecule: ribosomal RNA, 916 nt
Filed under: Lophiostoma caudatum
Lineage: Eukaryota; Fungi; Ascomycota; Dothideomycetes; Pleosporales; Lophiostomataceae
Description: partial large subunit ribosomal RNA
Rfam family: Eukaryotic large subunit ribosomal RNA
Source: RNAcentral
AACUUAAGCAUAUCAAUAAGCGGAGGAAAAGAAACCAACAGGGAUUGCCCUAGUAACGGCGAGUGAAGCGGCAACAGCUCAAAUUUGAAAUCUGGCUCCUUUGGGGUCCGAGUUGUAAUUUGUAGAGGGUGCUUUGGCGUUGGUUGUGGUCUAAGUUCCUUGGAACAGGACGUCACAGAGGGUGAGAAUCCCGUACGUGGCCGCCAGCCUUCGCCGUGUAAAGCCCCUUCGAUGAGUCGAGUUGUUUGGGAAUGCAGCUCUAAAUGGGAGGUAAAUUUCUUCUAAAGCUAAAUAUUUGCCAGAGACCGAUAGCGCACAAGUAGAGUGAUCGAAAGAUGAAAAGCACUUUGGAAAGAGAGUCAAAAAGCACGUGAAAUUGUUGAAAGGGAAGCGCUUGCAGCUAGACGUGCCUUGGGUUGAUCAGCCGGACUUUUGCCCGGUGCACUCUUCCUUUGGCAGGCCAGCAUCAGUUUGGGCGGCUGGAUAAAGGUCUGUUAAACGUGACUUCCUUCGGGGAGAGCUUAUAGGGCAGACGACAUGCAGCCAGCCUGAACUGAGGUCCGCGCAUCUGCUAGGAUGCUGGCAUAAUAGCUGUAAGCGGCCCGUCUUGAAACACGGACCAAGGAGUCUAACAUCUAUGCGAGUGUUUGGGUGUCAAGCCCGAGCGCGUAAUGAAAGUAAACGGAGGUGGGAACCUUUUAGGUGCACCAUCGACCGAUCUUGAUGUCUUCGGAUGGAUUUGAGUAAGAGCAUAGCUGUUGGGACCCGAAAGAUGGUGAACUAUGCCUGAAUAGGGUGAAGCCAGAGGAAACUCUGGUGGAGGCUCGCAGCGGUUCUGACGUGCAAAUCGAUCGUCAAAUUUGGGCAUAGGGGCGAAAGACUAAUCGAACUAUCUAGUAGCUGGUUCCUGCCGAAG